RNAcentral lists this ribosomal RNA (326 nucleotides) under uncultured bacterium. RNAcentral describes it as "bacterial SSU rRNA". It matches the Rfam family "Bacterial small subunit ribosomal RNA", at positions 28 to 334 of the family's 1533-position model. The record is from RNAcentral.
GACGAACGCUGGCGGCGCGCCUAACACAUGCAAGUCGAACGGAGUGCGUUUGAAUGAAGUUUUCGGAUGGAUUUUAGAUGUACUUAGUGGCGAACGGGUGAGUAACACGUGAAUAACCUGCCCUGGAGUGGGGGACAACAGUUGGAAACGACUGCUAAUACCGCAUAAGCCCACAGAGCCGCAUGGCUCAGGGGGAAAAGAGCAAUCUGCUUCAGGAUGGAUUCGCGUCCAAUUAGCUAGAUGGUGAGGUAACGGCCCACCAUGGCGACGAUUGGUAGCCGGACUGAGAGGUUGAACGGCCACAUUGGGACUGAGACACGGCCCAG